This 390-nucleotide ribosomal RNA is filed under the name uncultured bacterium. RNAcentral's name for it is "bacterial SSU rRNA". It matches the Rfam family "Bacterial small subunit ribosomal RNA", at positions 28 to 417 of the family's 1533-position model. The record is from RNAcentral.
GACGAACGCUGGCGGCGUGCUUAACACAUGCAAGUCGAGCGGUAAAGGCCCUUUCGGGGGUACACGAGCGGCGAACGGGUGAGUAACACGUGGGUGACCUGCCCUCAGCUCUGGGAUAAGCCCUGGGAAACCGGGUCUAAUACUGGAUAUGACUCCAUGACGCAUGUUGUGGGGUGAAAGCCUUGUGCGGCUGAGGAUGGGCCCGCGGCCUAUCAGCUUGUUGGUGGGGUGANGGCCUACCAAGGCGACGACGGGUAGCCGGCCUGAGAGGGCGACCGGCCACACUGGGACUGAGACACGGCCCAGACUCCUACGGGAGGCAGCAGUGGGGAAUCUUGCGCAAUGGGCGAAAGCCUGACGCAGCGACGCCGACGUGAGGGAUGACGGCCU